GGGGAACCUUUUAAGGGAAGGACGGAGUGAAGGGAGCGGACGGACUCCCCGGAGUGUCGGGCCAUGUUCGCCGGCUUGCAGGAGCUCGGGGUGGCCAACGGGGAAGACCUGAAAGAGACGCUGACCAACUGCACGGAGCCGCUGAAGGCCAUCGAGCAGUUCCAGACCGAGAACGGCAUCCUGCUGCCCACCCUCCAGUCAGCGCUGCCUUUCCUGGACCUCCAUGGCACCCCGAGGCUGGAGUUCCACCAGUCCGUCUUCGACGAGCUGCGAGAGAAGCUUCUGGAGAGGAUCUCUGCCAUCGCCUCAGAAGGAAAGGCAGAAGAAAGGUACAAAAAGCUGGAAGAUCUGCUGGAGAAGAGUUUCCCUUUAGUCAAGAUGCCUUCCAUCCAGCCGGUGGUCAUGUGUGUCAUGAAACACCUCCCCAAGGUUCCUGAAAAAAAGCUGAAGUUGGUAAUGGCCGACAAAGACCUGUACAAAGCCUGCGCUGUGGAGGUGAAGCGUCAGAUCUGGCAAGAUAACCAGGCUCUUUUUGGCGACGAAGUCUCCCCGCUGCUGAAGCAGUACAUCCUGGAGAAGGAGACUGCUCUGUUCAGCUGCGACCUCUCCGUCCUGCAUAAUUUCUUCAGUCCCUCACCCAAGACCCGGCGCCAGGGAGAGGUGGUUCAAAAGCUCACGCAGAUGAUUGGGAAGAACGUGAAGCUUUACGACAUGGUGCUCCAGUUCCUGAGGACCCUCUUCCUGCGGACGCGCAAUGUCCAUUACUGCACGCUGCGGGCUGAGCUGCUGAUGUCGCUGCACGACCUGGAGAUCAGCGAGAUCUGCACGGUGGACCCCUGCCACAAGUUCACCUGGUGCCUGGAUGCCUGCAUUCGGGAGAAGUUUGUUGACAACAAGCGCGCGCGAGAGCUGCAAGGUUUCCUCGACGGAGUGAAGAAAGGGCAAGAGCAAGUGCUGGGGGACUUAUCCAUGAUCUUGUGCGACCCAUUCGCCAUCAAUACCUUGGCGCUGAGCACCAUCCGCCACUUGCAGGAGCUGGUGGGGCAGGACAUGUUGCCCAGGGAAAGCCCUGACCUUUUACUUCUCUUGAGGAUGUUGUCGCUGGGACAGGGAGCCUGGGACAUGAUUGACAGCCAGAUCUUCAAGGAACCCAAAAUGGAGGUGGACUUGAUCACCAAGUUCUUGCCCUUGCUGAUGUCCUUUGUGGUGGAUGAUUACACCUUCACUGUUGAUCAGAGGCUGCCUUCAGAAGAGAAAGGCCCGGCACCUUAUCCCACCGCCAUCCCAGAAAUGUUUCCAAAAUUUCUGCAGGAGCACCGCAUUGCCUGCGAGAUUGGCCUUUACUAUGUGCUGCAUAUCACUAAGCUGAGGAACAAGAACGCUUUUCUUCGGCUGCUCCCUUCUCUGGUGGAGACUUUCAAUGACCUGGCCUUUGGAGACAUUUUCCUGCACUUGCUCACCGGGAACCUCACUCUCCUGGCUGACGAAUUCGGGCAAGAGGAGUUCUGCACCAGCCUCUUUGACAACGUCUUCCUCCCCGCCUGUUCAAGGAAAGAGAAUGUGCACAGGCACAUGCUGAGGCUGCUGCUUCACCUCCACCACAAAGUGGUCCCUGCCAAGCUGGAGUCCCUGCAGAAAUCCCUCGAGCCCACCAAGCAGAGCGGUGAAGCCGUGAAGGAGCUGUACAACCAGCUGAAUGAGAAACUGGAGCUCCGAAAGCCCAGCCCGGCCCACGCAGCUGAGGCUCCUUCCAUGGACUUGUCCUUGCCCACAGUCCCCACUCCGGCCUCGCUUUAGGCCUGGAAAAGAACAAAAGCUGUUUCCUUCCAAUGUCAACAAGAGAUUGGAUGCUCACCAUGUUCUGUCCAGAAACGUGGAACCCUCAAACAUCUCUUGGGUGCAUUGAUCUUUCCAAGAUGUUGAUGUUCUGCAACUCUUGUCCUGGAACCAGUGGGAUUUGCAGUCUAGCAAGACCACACAGUCCCACCCUCUGAACUAGAAGAGAAUAUUGUGAUCAAGAUUGUGGCAAUGACCUCAACCUGGGAUUUGGGCCCAAAGGAAUGAAAAGAAGACCGGAUCAGGUUUUUCUACAAUCUCAACUGUUUGGCUCCACCUCUUCCUGGAGUAGGACAGAGUUUCCUCCUUUCAUUCCACCAGCAAGCUCUCUAUCAGAUGGACGUAAGAGAGAGACUUGGCUCUAAAAGCCCUUGAUAAAGUUACCUCUCAGCACCAAUUCUGAGGUUCUUACCCUUGAGACCUAUGCUUCAUGUUCAGGGGCAACCUGAACGACGUUGAGGAGUCUCAAGCGCCUUCAAAUCAGUCCUUUGGCAACAGAGGAAGACUGUGUCUUCAAACAUAGGUCAUUGGACUGAGGCUGAGUUUGCUCUGGCAUCCACAGCCAUUGAGAAAAAGGGACCUGGAAAAGCUUCUCAGCUACAAAGCUCCACGGACUUAAAACAACCAAAGACUGUAAUGUAUGUUUUCCUUUACCCCUUUGAAACUUCCAGAUAACCUUUUGUGAACAAUAAACCCAGUUUUUGAGUUAUCUACAGUGUUUCGGUCCUUGGGAGUUCCAGUUUCCCUAAAGGAGGGCAAGAAGCAAUCCCCUGGGGAAAGAUGUCACGUCCAUGCCUUUUUCACUAAGAGUUAUAGCCCCAGGCGCGACGGCACAGUGGGCUUCAGGGCUUCAGAAGAGACAAUGUUGCUUUAAGGACGGCUUUCCUGUCACAGCUCUCAAGUUCAUGAUUCAAGUCUCCUGCUUUUGCCUAUGUUUAUGAUGCAAGUUUCCUGUUUGCCUAUGUUCUUUGAAGGAAUUGCCUUGGAAUAAGUUCGUGAUUUAAUGCUUAUGUCUGAAUGACUGCUGUGGAUUUUGGCUUUCUGGAUUACUGCUAUUUUGUAUUAUUUACUCUUGUGCCGUUUUGGAAAAUGCCCUUUUGUUUCUAUUUGUACCUCCUUUACUAAUCAACCUUUGUAGUUAGCACUACUGGACUGGUGUGGUGCUGGAUGAAAAGGUGUUCCAAGGCUUGAGUGUCCUGAGUCCCUGGAUAGGUUUCCAUAGCUUUGAGGGUUGUUUUUUAAAAAUUUUUUUAUUAUUAUUUUAGAAAUUAUAACAGAUAUUCAUUAAAGUGAAAAACAAGAAGUAAAAUAAAAUACACACAUAUAAAAAAUACAGAAAGAUAUAAAGAUUUGCACUGUAGUGUACAGCCAGCGCUCGUUAAACUAAUGGAUAUUCACAGAUUGGCUGUGCUAUUGUUAUACCUUAACUUGACCUUGUCCCCCAAACCCCUCACCCGUGAACCCAACCCCCUAGACCUCCGAUACCCCUCAGUAAGUAUCACGUAACUAACCGUCAACUACCCAUGUAUCUUCUUUCGCUAAAUCCCCUUUAUAGCAGUCAUCAAAUCUACCUUUGUCUUCUUUUCCAGAUACCCAAGUGCCAGCCUCCAUUUGUUUACAAAAUCCUCAUUAUUUCCUCCUCUGUUACUAUUUGUCAGCUUGGCCAUUUGGAUAUAUUCCCCCAGUUUAUCUCUCCAGUCUUUAAUACCUACCCUGUUUCCCCUAAAAUAAGACAUCCCCAAAAAAUAAGACCUAGUAGAGGUUUUGAUGAAUUGCUAAAUAUAAGGCCUCCCCCGAAAGUAAGACCUAGCAAAGUUUUUGUUUGGAAGCAUGCCCAACAAACAGAACACCAGAGCAUGCAGGAUCAGUAAAUGUACAUACCAUAGAGUGUUGUACAUGGAAAUAAUGGUAGUAACAAGAAAUUCUUGAUAGGAUUCAGUUUGUUUGGUUAUGCUGGUUUGUGAUGACAACUACUGUACAGUAUAUAAUAAAUGUUCAUUUUGGUUUGUGAUGACAACUACAGUACACUACAGUAUAUAAUAAAUGUUUAUUUUUGUUGUUCUACAAUAAAUGUGAAUUCUUCUUCAUGGAAAAAUAAGACAUCCCCUGAAAAUAAGACCUAGUACAUCUUUGGGAGCAAAAAUUAAUAUAAGACACUGUCUUAUAUUUGAGGAAAUACGGUAGUUCUUCUUCCCCCUUCCAUGUUUUAGCUAUUACAGUAGAGUCUCACUUAUCCAACAUAAACGGGCCGGCAGAAUGUUGGAUAAGUGAAUAUGUUGGAUAAUAAGGAGAAAUUAAGAAAAAGCCUAUUAAACAUCAAAAUAGGUUAUGAUUUUACAAAUUAAGCACCAAAACAUCAUGUUAUACAACAAAUUUGACAGAAAAAGUAGUUCAUUACACAUUAAUGCUAUGUAGUAAUUACUGUAUUUACGAAUUUAGCACCAAAAUAUCAUGAUAUAUUGAAAACAUUGACUACAAAAAUGCGUUGGAUAAUCCAGAACGUUGGAUAGGUGAGACUCUACUGUAUUAGUCUUGCUGCAACAAAACAAUAUUGGCAAAUUUCUUUGUCUCCUGCACUAAUUAAUACGCCUUCUAAAUAAACCUAAUAAGCACA
Anolis carolinensis (green anole) is the source of this 4450-nucleotide RNA transcript. It is a transcript of the gene named negative elongation factor complex member B, with no coding region annotated. The transcript has 14 exons. The record is from RefSeq and is a predicted model, not a curated record. NCBI's taxonomy places the organism in Eukaryota, Metazoa, Chordata, Lepidosauria, Squamata, Anolidae.